AAAGAGAAGAUAGAUUUAAGAAUUCACACAAACAAAAAUAAAUUGGAUGUGGAGUGUGAAGGAUGAAGAAUUGAAGACAUUAAGUUUCAGUGGUGAUGGAUUAGUUAGUGGGCAAUGAUUACCUGUACGAUGCAUUAGUUAGCAAGUCAUUAACAUAUUUGUACAACCAAUUGAUUGCACACACACAAAUUUAUCUCCAAAGUGACAUGUAAACGAUUUAGUGGAUUUUUGACAUGACAUGGACUACCACGUGGCAGCCACAUCAGCAAGGCGCAAGACUGGGCGGCCAGCAAGGAGUCGAGACAGGGAGUUAAUUUUAAAAUUGAUUUUU
Non-coding RNA from Physcomitrium patens, 331 nucleotides. NCBI's taxonomy places the organism in Eukaryota, Viridiplantae, Streptophyta, Bryopsida, Funariales, Funariaceae. The record is from RefSeq and is a predicted model, not a curated record.